UUUCACUUGUCUUCACUGCAGCAUGACUAAUAGAAACUUUCAGCUUUGCGUGCAUAUAUAAGCCCCUACAUAAGAAGACUUUGACAUUCUGCCUCAACACACAGAACCCCGAGAUCCAAACGCAAGAUAGAAAAUAGUGGCAAAGAUGUUCGUGAAAGCUAUGGUUGUUUUGGCCCUGGUGGUCUGCAUGGUGCAAGCCAAGCCAAGCUAUUUGGAACUGAGGCGUCGCGUGGAGGCCUUGGAAGAGGCAGUCCGUCCCAAAAGGUUUACAAAAUGCAGUCGUGAUGUAGUAGGAGAGUGCAAGUCCCCUCUCAACUGCGAUUCGCGAAAAGGUUUUCAU
Long non-coding RNA from Nematostella vectensis (starlet sea anemone), 340 nucleotides. RefSeq lists it as uncharacterized. Lineage: Eukaryota; Metazoa; Cnidaria; Anthozoa; Actiniaria; Edwardsiidae. The transcript is spliced from 3 exons. The record is from RefSeq and is a predicted model, not a curated record.